CAGAGGUCCUCAACUAGUUGCCCCUGUGGACGUGGUGCAUGGGUGGAGGUAGCGCGGGCACUACCGCAACCAAUGGAGGUUCUACCGGGAUCCAAGAAAGAAGGGAAGAGCUGAUGGACACCCGGAGCUGCCAGUUUAAGUUGUGCUGGG
This is a long non-coding RNA of Onychomys torridus (southern grasshopper mouse), 150 nucleotides long. RefSeq lists it as uncharacterized. The record is from RefSeq and is a predicted model, not a curated record. The transcript has 3 exons. NCBI's taxonomy places the organism in Eukaryota, Metazoa, Chordata, Mammalia, Rodentia, Cricetidae.